AACGAACGUUGGCGGCGUGGAUUAGGCAUGCAAGUCGAACGAGAAAGUCCCUUCGGGGGGCAAGUAGAGUGGCGAACGGGUGAGUAACGCGUGGGGAAUCUGCCUGGAAGUGGGGAAUAACCUUCCUAACGGGGGGCUAAUACCGCAUGUGGAGAUCAGGUCGCCUGGCCAGAUCUUCAAAGGUGGCCUCUGUUUCAAGCUGCCGCUACCAGAUGACCCCGCGUCCUAUUAGCUUGUUGGUGGGGUAAUGGCUCACCAAGGCGACGAUGGGUAGCCGGCCUGAGAGGGUGUCCGGCCACACUGGGACUGAGAUACGGCCCAGACUCCUACGGGAGGCAGCAGUCGAGAGGCUUCGGCAAUGGGGGAAACCCUGACCGAGCGACGCCGCGUGGAGGAUGAAGGCCUUCGGGUCGUAAACUCCUGUCAGCAGGGGAGAAAGGCGUGUCGGCCAAUACCCGGCGCGUUUGACGGUACCUGCAGAGGAAGCUCCGGCUAACUCCGUG
Molecule: ribosomal RNA, 503 nt
Filed under: uncultured bacterium
Lineage: Bacteria
Description: bacterial SSU rRNA
Rfam family: Bacterial small subunit ribosomal RNA
Source: RNAcentral